Long non-coding RNA from Triplophysa dalaica, 351 nucleotides. RefSeq lists it as uncharacterized. The transcript has 3 exons. NCBI's taxonomy places the organism in Eukaryota, Metazoa, Chordata, Actinopteri, Cypriniformes, Nemacheilidae. The record is from RefSeq and is a predicted model, not a curated record.
CGGGGAAAUUUGGUCACAAGCUUUGCAUGAGAGUUACGGAGACGCAGUUGUUGAAUGUGUUUGGACGUUAUGAUGUCUCACAAGGUCAUUCUUAUGAACAAACAAAUGAAGGAUUUGGCAUUUACGUCAGUGACGUCAGACGUGCAGGGACUUUGAUCUUUCUGUGGCAAAUGCAGCCGGUCUGAACAAAAUGGAGACUGCUUCCAAGAUUCAACAGCCGACAGAAGGUCCUCUGCUGAGGGGUUCUGAUUAACUAGAGAGCAGGAAUGUCUUAGUUCAUUCCAAGAAUCCUGUCUUCCAUAAAAAAGGGGAGGGGAUAUGGAAAAACAGGCUCGCAUUGUUUUGAUUCGA